CAUUUCAAUUGGUUUUGAACUAUUGAGGAUCAUUCCAAGUUUCCAACCCAUUCUGAGAUAAUGGCGCAUUCCACUUAGGAGGGUCACCCGCCUAAGAUAUCUCCAAGUGGGAUAGUCUACAUCAUAAUUUGUUGCUGAUGGGGUACGCGUUCGCGUGGCCCCUGU
Non-coding RNA from Thalictrum thalictroides, 165 nucleotides. NCBI's taxonomy places the organism in Eukaryota, Viridiplantae, Streptophyta, Magnoliopsida, Ranunculales, Ranunculaceae. The record is from the annotation of a GenBank genome assembly.